RNAcentral lists this transfer RNA (77 nucleotides) under Nitrospinota bacterium. RNAcentral's name for it is "tRNA-Arg". It matches the Rfam family "tRNA". Rfam says of the family: Transfer RNA (tRNA) molecules are approximately 80 nucleotides in length. Their secondary structure includes four short double-helical elements and three loops (D, anti-codon, and T loops). Lineage: Bacteria; Pseudomonadati; Nitrospinota. The record is from RNAcentral.
GCCCCAUUAGCUCAGUUGGAUAGAGCGCAAGAUUCCUAAUCUUGAGGCCGUUGGUUCGAGUCCAACAUGGGGUACCA